Molecule: ribosomal RNA, 405 nt
Filed under: uncultured bacterium
Lineage: Bacteria
Description: bacterial SSU rRNA
Rfam family: Bacterial small subunit ribosomal RNA
Source: RNAcentral
UGGGGAAUAUUGGGCAAUGGGGGCAACCCUGACCCAGCGACGCCGCGUGGGGGAAGACGGCCUUCGGGUUGUAAACCUCUUUUGUACGGGAAGAAGGAAGUGACGGUACUGUACGAAUAAGUCCUGGCUAACUACGUGCCAGCGGCCGCGGUAAUACGUAGGGGACGAGCGUUGUCCGGAAUUACUGGGCGUAAAGGGCGCGCAGGCUGUGCUGCAAGUCAGCUGUUAAAUGUCUGGGCUUAACCCGGGCAUGCGGUUGAGACUGCGGUGCUGGAGUGCUGUAGAGGCAAGUGGAAUUCCCAGUGUAGCGGUGAAAUGCGUAGAUAUUGGGAAGAACACCGGUGGCGAAGGCGACUUGCUGGGCAGCAACUGACGCUGAGGCAUGAAAGCCAGGGGAGCAAACGG